GCCAUCAAUGGAAAAACAAGUUUGUGCGAAGCACUAUUUUUCGUCAGGUCUGGACACUGCAACGUCAUUUCAAUGGAAGUUUAUCUCUGAUCAGAGUUUGAAUGAGGUUAAGGACAAUAAAGAAAGUAAAUUUUCUAAGACUAUGUAUGAUGAUUAUGAUACUAACUAACCUCUUGUUGGUCUUGAAGUCUCUCUUUCCCAAAUACAAUCCAAGCUGUGAAAACCACAGCAAGUGGUACUUGAACUGAUGACAGAAUCCAGUAUUCUAAUCCACAUGGCUCCAUUGGAAUGAUGCUCUGAACAGUUUGAACAAUUGCAAGCAGUCAGGGAUUAACAACAUAAUGGAGUCAAAGUUAGAAGAAAAACAACUACUCUAAAAGUUUGGUAAAUCUAUCUCAAAAACAUAAUAAUAGAUUUUUUUUAAAAUAUUUUUAUACUGUCAUCCAAUUAGGUGCUGUUACAUAAAAUUCAAGCAGCCUAAUGAUAACCUUACCUGUCCAUAUUUGUUGCCGCGAAGAAGAUAGACAGAAAAGAAGGAGAACCAGACCAAAAACAAGACCCCCAAUUUCAACCAAG
This 576-nucleotide long non-coding RNA is filed under the name Arachis ipaensis. RNAcentral's name for it is "long non-coding RNA (AIPA_LNC002377)". Lineage: Eukaryota; Viridiplantae; Streptophyta; Magnoliopsida; Fabales; Fabaceae. The record is from RNAcentral.